RNAcentral lists this transfer RNA (74 nucleotides) under Polyangiaceae bacterium. RNAcentral describes it as "tRNA-Glu". It matches the Rfam family "tRNA". Rfam says of the family: Transfer RNA (tRNA) molecules are approximately 80 nucleotides in length. Their secondary structure includes four short double-helical elements and three loops (D, anti-codon, and T loops). Lineage: Bacteria; Pseudomonadati; Myxococcota; Polyangiales; Polyangiaceae. RNAcentral also lists the same sequence under 3 other names. The record is from RNAcentral.
GUCCCCAUCGUCUAGCCGGCCCAGGACACGGCCCUUUCAAGGCUGUAACACGGGUUCAAAUCCCGUUGGGGACG